This 68-nucleotide transfer RNA is filed under the name Streptococcus sp. ACC21. RNAcentral describes it as "tRNA-Glu". It matches the Rfam family "tRNA". Rfam says of the family: Transfer RNA (tRNA) molecules are approximately 80 nucleotides in length. Their secondary structure includes four short double-helical elements and three loops (D, anti-codon, and T loops). Lineage: Bacteria; Bacillati; Bacillota; Bacilli; Lactobacillales; Streptococcaceae. The record is from RNAcentral.
CGUUGGUCAAGGGGUUAAGACACCGCCUUUUCACGGCGGUAACACGGGUUCGAAUCCCGUACUUAGCA